GAUGAACGCUAGCGAUAGGCCUAACACAUGCAAGUCGAGGGGCAUCACAUGAAGUAGCAAUACGGAUGGUGGCGACCGGCGCACGGGUGAGUAACACGUAUGCAACCUGCCUUCAACAAGGGGAUAACCCGUUGAAAGACGGACUAAUACCCUAUAACACAGGGGUCCCGCAUGGGAAUAUUUGUUAAAGGACAACCGGUUGAAGAUGGGCAUGCGUUCCAUUAGCUAGUUGGCGGGGUAACGGCCCACCAAGGCAACGAUGGAUAGGGGAACUGAGAGGUUUAUCCCCCACACUGGUACUGAGACACGGACCAGACUCCUACGGGAGGCAGCAGUGAGGAAUAUUGGUCAAUGGACGCAAGUCUGAACCAGCCACGUCGCGUGAAGGAAGACGGCCCUACGGGUUGUAAACUUCUUUUGCAAGGGAAUAAAGUGGGCCACGUGUGGCCUUUUGCAAGUACCUUGCGAAUAAGGAUCGGCUAACUCCGUGCCAGCAGCCGCGGUAAGUACGC
RNAcentral lists this ribosomal RNA (512 nucleotides) under uncultured bacterium. Its description in RNAcentral is "bacterial SSU rRNA". It matches the Rfam family "Bacterial small subunit ribosomal RNA", at positions 28 to 528 of the family's 1533-position model. The record is from RNAcentral.